AGUCACUGACAUUAGACUACCCCUGUACGUCCCAGCCGUAAACUAUGCGCGUUAGGUGUAUCGGUGACCACGAGUUACCGAGGUGCCGAAGGGAAACCGUGAAACGUGCCGCCUGGGAAGUACGGUCGCAAGGCUGAAACUUAAAGGAAUUGGCGGGGAGCACCACAACAGGUGGAGCCUGCGGUUUAAUUGGACUCAACGCCGGGAAGCUCACCGGAUAGGACAGCAGAAUGAUUGCCGGGCUGAAGACUCUGCAUGACUAGCUG
This 266-nucleotide ribosomal RNA is filed under the name uncultured archaeon. RNAcentral describes it as "partial 16S ribosomal RNA". It matches the Rfam family "Archaeal small subunit ribosomal RNA", at positions 718 to 982 of the family's 1478-position model. The record is from RNAcentral.